RNAcentral lists this ribosomal RNA (468 nucleotides) under uncultured bacterium. RNAcentral describes it as "partial 16S ribosomal RNA". It matches the Rfam family "Bacterial small subunit ribosomal RNA", at positions 28 to 507 of the family's 1533-position model. The record is from RNAcentral.
GACGAACGCUGGCGGCGUGCUUAACACAUGCAAGUCGAACGGAAAGGCCCUGCAUUUGUGGGGUGCUCGAGUGGCGAACGGGUGAGUAACACGUGAGUAACCUGCCCUUGACUUUGGGAUAAUUUAAGGAAACUGGGGCUAAUACCGGAUAGGAGCUCCUGCUGCAUGGUGGGGGUUGGAAAGUUUCGGCGGUUGGGGAUGGACUCGCGGCUUAUCAGCUUGUUGGUGGGGUAGUGGCUUACCAAGGCUUUGACGGGUAGCCGGCCUGAGAGGGUGACCGGCCACAUUGGGACUGAGGAACGGCCCAGACUCCUACGGGAGGCAGCAGUGGGGAAUAUUGCACAAUGGGCGGAAGCCUGAUGCAGCAACGCCGCGUGCGGGAUGACGGCCUUCGGGUUGUAAACCGCUUUCGCCUGUGACGAAGCGUGAGUGACGGUAAUGGGUGAAGAAGCACCGGCUAACUACGUG